GGAAGCGUGGCCGAGUGGUUGAAGGCGCACGACUCGAAAUCGUGUGUGCGGGCAACCGUACCGGAGGUUCGAAUCCUCUCGCUUCCGCCA
Molecule: transfer RNA, 90 nt
Filed under: Candidatus Saccharimonadota bacterium
Lineage: Bacteria; Candidatus Saccharimonadota
Description: tRNA-Ser
Rfam family: tRNA
About the family: Transfer RNA (tRNA) molecules are approximately 80 nucleotides in length. Their secondary structure includes four short double-helical elements and three loops (D, anti-codon, and T loops).
Source: RNAcentral